GGCAUUAGCUCAGUUGGUAGAGCGUUUCGUUCGCAAUGAAAAGGUCAGGAGUUCGAAUCUCCUAUGCUCC
Molecule: transfer RNA, 70 nt
Filed under: uncultured Luteolibacter sp.
Lineage: Bacteria; Pseudomonadati; Verrucomicrobiota; Verrucomicrobiia; Verrucomicrobiales; Verrucomicrobiaceae
Rfam family: tRNA
About the family: Transfer RNA (tRNA) molecules are approximately 80 nucleotides in length. Their secondary structure includes four short double-helical elements and three loops (D, anti-codon, and T loops). Further hydrogen bonds mediate the characteristic L-shaped molecular structure. tRNAs have two regions of fundamental functional importance: the anti-codon, which is responsible for specific mRNA codon recognition, and the 3' end, to which the tRNAs corresponding amino acid is attached (by aminoacyl-tRNA synthetases). tRNAs cope with the degeneracy of the genetic code in two manners: having more than one tRNA (with a specific anti-codon) for a particular amino acid; and 'wobble' base-pairing, i.e. permitting non-standard base-pairing at the 3rd anti-codon position.
Source: RNAcentral